Molecule: ribosomal RNA, 1528 nt
Filed under: Klebsiella pneumoniae
Lineage: Bacteria; Pseudomonadati; Pseudomonadota; Gammaproteobacteria; Enterobacterales; Enterobacteriaceae
Description: bacterial SSU rRNA
Rfam family: Bacterial small subunit ribosomal RNA
Source: RNAcentral
AGAGUUUUAUCAUGGCUCAGAUUGAACGCUGGCGGCAGGCCUAACACAUGCAAGUCGAGCGGUAGCACAGAGAGCUUGCUCUCGGGUGACGAGCGGCGGACGGGUGAGUAAUGUCUGGGAAACUGCCUGAUGGAGGGGGAUAACUACUGGAAACGGUAGCUAAUACCGCAUAACGUCGCAAGACCAAAGUGGGGGACCUUCGGGCCUCAUGCCAUCAGAUGUGCCCAGAUGGGAUUAGCUAGUAGGUGGGGUAACGGCUCACCUAGGCGACGAUCCCUAGCUGGUCUGAGAGGAUGACCAGCCACACUGGAACUGAGACACGGUCCAGACUCCUACGGGAGGCAGCAGUGGGGAAUAUUGCACAAUGGGCGCAAGCCUGAUGCAGCCAUGCCGCGUGUGUGAAGAAGGCCUUCGGGUUGUAAAGCACUUUCAGCGGGGAGGAAGGCGUUAAGGUUAAUAACCUUGGCGAUUGACGUUACCCGCAGAAGAAGCACCGGCUAACUCCGUGCCAGCAGCCGCGGUAAUACGGAGGGUGCAAGCGUUAAUCGGAAUUACUGGGCGUAAAGCGCACGCAGGCGGUCUGUCAAGUCGGAUGUGAAAUCCCCGGGCUCAACCUGGGAACUGCAUUCGAAACUGGCAGGCUAGAGUCUUGUAGAGGGGGGUAGAAUUCCAGGUGUAGCGGUGAAAUGCGUAGAGAUCUGGAGGAAUACCGGUGGCGAAGGCGGCCCCCUGGACAAAGACUGACGCUCAGGUGCGAAAGCGUGGGGAGCAAACAGGAUUAGAUACCCUGGUAGUCCACGCCGUAAACGAUGUCGAUUUGGAGGUUGUGCCCUUGAGGCGUGGCUUCCGGAGCUAACGCGUUAAAUCGACCGCCUGGGGAGUACGGCCGCAAGGUUAAAACUCAAAUGAAUUGACGGGGGCCCGCACAAGCGGUGGAGCAUGUGGUUUAAUUCGAUGCAACGCGAAGAACCUUACCUGGUCUUGACAUCCACAGAACUUAGCAGAGAUGCUUUGGUGCCUUCGGGAACUGUGAGACAGGUGCUGCAUGGCUGUCGUCAGCUCGUGUUGUGAAAUGUUGGGUUAAGUCCCGCAACGAGCGCAACCCUUAUCCUUUGUUGCCAGCGGUCCGGCCGGGAACUCAAAGGAGACUGCCAGUGAUAAACUGGAGGAAGGUGGGGAUGACGUCAAGUCAUCAUGGCCCUUACGACCAGGGCUACACACGUGCUACAAUGGCAUAUACAAAGAGAAGCGACCUCGCGAGAGCAAGCGGACCUCAUAAAGUAUGUCGUAGUCCGGAUUGGAGUCUGCAACUCGACUCCAUGAAGUCGGAAUCGCUAGUAAUCGUAGAUCAGAAUGCUACGGUGAAUACGUUCCCGGGCCUUGUACACACCGCCCGUCACACCAUGGGAGUGGGUUGCAAAAGAAGUAGGUAGCUUAACCUUCGGGAGGGCGCUUACCACUUUGUGAUUCAUGACUGGGGUGAAGUCGUAACAAGGUAACCGUAGGGGAACCUGCGGUUGGAUCACCU